This 178-nucleotide small RNA is filed under the name uncultured Prevotella sp. RNAcentral's name for it is "Bacteroidales-1 6S-Bacteroidales RNA suggested". It matches the Rfam family "Bacteroidales-1 6S-Bacteroidales RNA suggested". The record is from RNAcentral. Lineage: Bacteria; Pseudomonadati; Bacteroidota; Bacteroidia; Bacteroidales; Prevotellaceae.
GCCGUAUCGGAUAGAUCGGGAUACUCAUCAAAUUAUUUCGAAAACCGAGAAUACUUCUCCUGCCAAUGGCGGGCCACAUCCGUAAGGAAAGCUGUUUCAGCCGGUGGAUUACAAAGGCGGAAAGCUCUCAAAUCAUCUGAAAACGGAGUUUUCAUCACAUCACCGGUACGGCCUUUUU